This 253-nucleotide ribosomal RNA is filed under the name uncultured bacterium. RNAcentral's name for it is "partial 16S ribosomal RNA". It matches the Rfam family "Bacterial small subunit ribosomal RNA", at positions 524 to 776 of the family's 1533-position model. The record is from RNAcentral.
UACGAAGGGUGCAAGCGUUAGUCGGAAUUACUGGGCGUAAAGGGCGCGUAGGCGGCCUCUUAAGUCGAACGUGAAAUCCCCGGGCUCAACCCGGGAACUGCGUCCGAUACUGGGGGGCUUGAAUCCGGGAGAGGGAUGUGGAAUUCCAGGUGUAGCGGUGAAAUGCGUAGAUAUCUGGAGGAACACCGGUGGCGAAGGCGGCAUCCUGGACCGGUAUUGACGCUGAGGCGCGAAAGCCAGGGGAGCAAACGGG